UUUGUUACUUCAAACCAAUCGGACUUCGGUCUGACAUCAAGUGAUAUUGAACAAUUUAGCUGAUCGCACGGUCUAAGAACCGGCGACAUAUCCUUCAAAUGUCUGCCUUAUCAACUUUCGAUGGUAGAUUAUGCGCCUACCAUGGUUGUAACGGGUAACGGAGAAUCAGGGUUUGAUUCCGGAGAGGGAGCCUGAGAAACGGCUACCACAUCCAAGGAAGGCAGCAGGCACGCAAAUUACCCACUCCCGGCACGGGGAGGUAGUGACGAAAAAUAACAAGCUGGUCUCAAUGAGUUCCAGCAUUGUAAUGGGAACAAUUUAAAUCUUUUAUCGAGGAUCUAUUGGAGGGCAAGUCUGGUGCCAGCAGCCGCGGUAAUUCCAGCUCCAAUGGCGUAUAUUAAAGUUGUUGCKGUUAAAAARCUCGUAGUUGGAUCUAGKAUUAGGGCUACGGUCGUUCAGYUUGGACGUACUGUAUGCCCSACUCCYCUYCUCUWGKAUUCKARUGKUGCUCUWAAAUGAGUGACUUUAGUKGCUGGAACUUUUACMWURAAAAAAKUGAARUGCWCRAAGYAGGUU
Molecule: ribosomal RNA, 576 nt
Filed under: uncultured eukaryote
Lineage: Eukaryota
Description: partial 18S ribosomal RNA
Rfam family: Eukaryotic small subunit ribosomal RNA
Source: RNAcentral